This 506-nucleotide long non-coding RNA is filed under the name Olea europaea (common olive). RNAcentral's name for it is "long non-coding RNA (OEUR_LNC014423)". The record is from RNAcentral. Lineage: Eukaryota; Viridiplantae; Streptophyta; Magnoliopsida; Lamiales; Oleaceae.
AAAGUAAAAUAAAAUAAAAUAGUAAUGUUAGAUUUUCAUACAUAUCAAACAAUAAUUAUCGAUCUUAUUUAUAGAUCGUAGAACAUUCCUUUACAAGACUUACAACUUUAAAAUAGUGUCACAAGCAUUCGAAAAUUCAAUAACAUAACCAAAUUUGGGGUGGAAAGGUGCUAAGAGCACCUGCUCUAAUUUCAACAGGGCAAGCAGGUUUGUCUGCUUUCCGCACCUCGGCCGCCCUAUAGCUAUGAUUGGCCACUGGGUAGCCUGUUACGGCCUCGACUGCCCCAGUUGUCCUCUGCCACAUAGAGCCUUCCUUGCGUGGUUAUUUGACUCGUGCAAACUCUUCAAUGCAAAAAGGCGACAUUAAUUAGAAAAUCUUCCGAGAUGUGAGCUAAGUGCCAUGGUCACCAAAUUCAAUAGUCAAUCCUCAUCGAUAUAUAUAUAUAUAUAUAUAUAUAUAAUUGAGUCGGGUGCAAAAUGACUAUUUAAUCCCCUAAGGAUAUCUU